UGGGGAAUAUUGGACAAUGGGCGAAAGCCUGAUCCAGCAAUGCCGCGUGAGUGACGAAGGCCUUAGGGUUGUAAAACUCUUUUAGCAGGGAAGAUAAUGACGGUACCUGCAGAAAAAGCUCCGGCUAACUCUGUGCCAGCAGCCGCGGUAAUACAGAGGGAGCUAGCGUUGUUCGGAAUUACUGGGCGUAAAGCGCGCGUAGGCCGCUUGCCAAGUCAGAUGUGAAAUCCCGGAGCUUAACUUCGGAAUUGCAUUUGAAACUGGCGAGCUAGAGAAUGGUAGGGGAUAGGGGAAUUUCUAGUGUAGAGGUGAAAUUCGUAGAUAUUAGAAGGAACACCAGUGGCGAAGGCGCCUAUCUGGGCCAUUUCUGACGCUGAGGCGCGAAAGCGUGGGGAGCAAACAG
RNAcentral lists this ribosomal RNA (403 nucleotides) under uncultured bacterium. RNAcentral's name for it is "bacterial SSU rRNA". It matches the Rfam family "Bacterial small subunit ribosomal RNA", at positions 355 to 775 of the family's 1533-position model. The record is from RNAcentral.